This 29-nucleotide non-coding RNA is filed under the name Mus musculus (house mouse). Lineage: Eukaryota; Metazoa; Chordata; Mammalia; Rodentia; Muridae. The record is from RNAcentral.
UGGCCGUGACGAUGGACCAAUGAUUCAUU